RNAcentral lists this long non-coding RNA (498 nucleotides) under Fukomys damarensis (Damara mole-rat). RNAcentral describes it as "lncRNA (ENSFDAG00000025240.1)". Lineage: Eukaryota; Metazoa; Chordata; Mammalia; Rodentia; Bathyergidae. The record is from RNAcentral.
GGGCCGUCUGAGGAACAGCAGCCACAAGGCCUCUGACUAUGGCAUCACAGAUGUCUCAGGGAUUCCAUAAGAUGACAAUGAUUUUCACCAAGGGCCAUGAGGCCGUCCUCAGUUAUCAGGUGUGCGAUGAUGAGCAAUCUGCAGGGAAGCUGCCCACAGAGAACUCACAGUCUAGUGAGGGAGAUAAAUGCUCUCUCCCAGGAAACAUCCCCUAUGCUACUUUGUAAUGACAGAAGGAGUGAGAGUUUGACCCCUGGCAAAGAUAAAAUAGUGGUGGCAUGCCACUGGGCCACAGUCGGAAACUGAAAAUAGGACAAGCGGAGAAGAUGGCAAUAGGUCAUGGAGACCUUGGCUAAAGCGUCAAGGCCCUUUCCAGCAACCUCCCCACAGCCCUACUGGAGGAGUUGCUGGACUUCUCCCAACAGGGGAAACACCUAGUGAGGCCUUGUGAUGACUGACUAGGAGCAUUGACUGCACCUGCACCCAAGACCAUGAUCU